UACGUAGGGGGCAAGCGUUGUCCGGAAUCAUUGGGCGUAAAGCGCGUGUAGGCGGCUUGGUAAGUCGGGUGUGAAAGCCCUCAGCUCAACUGAGGAAGUGCGCCCGAAACUGCUUUGCUUGAGUACUGGAGAGGGUCGCGGAAUUCCCGAAGUAGAGGUGAAAUUCGUAGAUAUCGGGAGGAACACCGGUGGCGAAGGCGGCGACCUGGACAGUAACUGACGCUGAGACGCGAAAGCGUGGGUAGCAAACAGG
Molecule: ribosomal RNA, 253 nt
Filed under: uncultured bacterium
Lineage: Bacteria
Description: partial 16S ribosomal RNA
Rfam family: Bacterial small subunit ribosomal RNA
Source: RNAcentral